UUGAUUCUUUUCGAAAUUCAGACACAAAACACAGACAGCAUAAAUGCGGCAGGUCAAAGGUGACUCUGCCGAAGCACAUCUCGCUUCCACGGGUUUGAAGGGUCUAGGGUCUUGCGACCUUUCGUUAAUGAUCCCUCCGCAGGUUCACCUACGGAGA
Molecule: unclassified non-coding RNA, 157 nt
Filed under: uncultured fungus
Lineage: Eukaryota; Fungi
Description: sequence contains ITS1, 5.8S rRNA gene
Source: RNAcentral